Molecule: ribosomal RNA, 253 nt
Filed under: uncultured bacterium
Lineage: Bacteria
Description: partial 16S ribosomal RNA
Rfam family: Bacterial small subunit ribosomal RNA
Source: RNAcentral
UACGAGUGCCCCGAGCGUUAUCCGGAAUCAUUGGGCGUAAAGGGUGUGUAGGUGGUUGUGUUAGUCUUUUGUCAAAACCCGGAGCUUAACUCCGGAUCCGCGAAAGAAACGGCACGACUAGAGGGUGCGAGGGAUGUGUGGAACUCAUGGAGUAGGGGUGAAAUCCGUUGAUAUCAUGGGGAACACCGAAAGCGAAGGCAGCACAUUGGCGCAUUCCUGACACUGAAACACGAAAGCGUGGGUAGCGAAUGGG